Molecule: transfer RNA, 74 nt
Filed under: bacterium
Lineage: Bacteria
Description: tRNA-Arg
Rfam family: tRNA
About the family: Transfer RNA (tRNA) molecules are approximately 80 nucleotides in length. Their secondary structure includes four short double-helical elements and three loops (D, anti-codon, and T loops). Further hydrogen bonds mediate the characteristic L-shaped molecular structure. tRNAs have two regions of fundamental functional importance: the anti-codon, which is responsible for specific mRNA codon recognition, and the 3' end, to which the tRNAs corresponding amino acid is attached (by aminoacyl-tRNA synthetases). tRNAs cope with the degeneracy of the genetic code in two manners: having more than one tRNA (with a specific anti-codon) for a particular amino acid; and 'wobble' base-pairing, i.e. permitting non-standard base-pairing at the 3rd anti-codon position.
Source: RNAcentral
GUCCCCGUAGCUCAAUUGGAUAGAGCGAGAGAUUUCUAAUCUCUAGGUUGUGCGUUCGAGUCGCGCCGGGGACA